This 425-nucleotide ribosomal RNA is filed under the name uncultured bacterium. RNAcentral describes it as "bacterial SSU rRNA". It matches the Rfam family "Bacterial small subunit ribosomal RNA", at positions 354 to 796 of the family's 1533-position model. The record is from RNAcentral.
GUGGGGAAUAUUGGACAAUGGGCGAAAGCCUGAUCCAGCCAUGUCGCGUGAGUGAUGAAGGCCUUAGGGUUGUAAAGCUCUUUCAGUAGGGAAGAUAAUGACGGUACCUACAGAAGAAGCCCCGGCUAACUUCGUGCCAGCAGCCGCGGUAAUACGAAGGGGGCUAGCGUUGUUCGGAUUUACUGGGCGUAAAGCGCACGUAGGCGGAUUGGUCAGUUAGAGGUGAAAUCCUGGAGCUCAACUCCAGAACUGCCUUUAAUACUGCCAGUCUAGAGUCCAGAAGAGGUGAGUGGAACUCCUAGUGUAGAGGUGGAAUUCGUAGAUAUUAGGAAGAACACCAGUGGCGAAGGCGGCUCACUGGUCUGGUACUGACGCUGAGGUGCGAAAGCGUGGGGAGCAAACAGGAUUAGAUACCCGAGUAGUCC